AAUGGGCGCAAGCCUGAUCCAGCAAUGCCGCGUGAGUGAUGAAGGCCUUCGGGUUGUAAAGCUCUUUCGCCUGCGAGGAUGAUGACGGUAGCAGGAGAAGAAGCCCCGGCUAACUUCGUGCCAGCAGCCGCGGUAAUACGAAGGGGGCGAGCGUUGUUCGGAUUUACUGGGCGUAAAGGGCGCGUAGGCGGCGAUCUAAGUCAGGCGUGAAAGCCCCGGGCUCAACCUGGGAGGUGCGCUUGGGACUAGAUUGCUGGAGUUCGGGAGAGGAGCGUGGAAUUCCCAGUGUAGAGGUGAAAUUCGUAGAUAUUGGGAAGAACACCGGUGGCGAAGGCGGCGCUCUGGACCGAUACUGACGCUGAGGCGCGAAAGCGUGGGGAGCAAACAGGAUUAGAUACCCUGGUAGUCCACGCCGUAAACGAUGGAUGCUAGCCGUUGGCGGGUUUACCCGUCAGUGGCGCAGCUAACGCUUUAAGCAUCCCGCCUGGGGAGUA
This 494-nucleotide ribosomal RNA is filed under the name uncultured bacterium. RNAcentral's name for it is "bacterial SSU rRNA". It matches the Rfam family "Bacterial small subunit ribosomal RNA", at positions 370 to 882 of the family's 1533-position model. The record is from RNAcentral.